CACGUAGGAGGCAAACGUUAUCCGGAUUUACUGGGCGUGAAGCGCGUGUAGGUGGUUCUGUAAGUAGGGCGCGAAAGCUCCCGGCUCAACUGGGAGAGGCCGUUCUAAACUGCAGAGCUAGAGGAUGGUAGAGGGAGGUGGAAUUCCAGGUGUAGCGGUGGAAUGCGCAGAUAUCUGGAGGAACACCAGUGGCGAAGGCGGCCUCCUGGACCAUUCCUGACACUCAGACGCGAAAGCUAGGGUAGCAAACGGGAUUAGAUACCCCCGUAGU
Molecule: ribosomal RNA, 271 nt
Filed under: uncultured prokaryote
Description: partial 16S ribosomal RNA
Rfam family: Bacterial small subunit ribosomal RNA
Source: RNAcentral